Molecule: ribosomal RNA, 846 nt
Filed under: Uvaria grandiflora
Lineage: Eukaryota; Viridiplantae; Streptophyta; Magnoliopsida; Magnoliales; Annonaceae
Description: eukaryotic LSU rRNA
Rfam family: 5.8S ribosomal RNA (bases 374-529)
Source: RNAcentral
GAAGUCCACUGAACCUUAUCAUUUAGAGGAAGGAGAAGUCGUAACAAGGUUUCCGUAGGUGAACCUGCGGAAGGAUCAUUGUCGAUGGCCGAAACGAGGGAAAGACCCGCGAACACCGUGACCCGAUCGAAGGGAGGGGGGGGACGCUGCGCCCGCCGCGGCACCGGCGCKAGGCCGGGCGUGGCACGAGGGGCCGGCGAGAUCCUACUACUCUCCCGCCGCGGCACCGGCGCGAGGCCGGGCGCGGCGAACGACCACGCACCCACACGGCGCGAGUGGCGCCAAGGACCCCGAAGAGGAGCGCGGGGGAGGAGGGCGGGCGCAAUGCCGUCCCCUCCGCCGCGGGAGGGAAAAAUGAUAAUACGAGUCGGACGACUCUCGGCAACGGAUAUCUCGGCUCUCGCAUCGAUGAAGAACGUAGCGAAAUGCGAUACUUGGUGUGAAUUGCAGAAUCCCGCGAACCAUCGAGUCUUUGAACGCAAGUUGCGCCCGAGGCCACCCGGCCGAGGGCACGCCUGCCUGGGCGUCACGCACCGCGCUGCCCGCACCCCGACGGGGCCGACGGGCGGAGACUGGCCGACCGUGCGCCUCGCGCGCGCGGCGGGCUGAAAGCUAUGUCGGAUGAGUGCCCCCGGAGGAGGGGCGUCGGCACGGCGUUGGGUGGUCUCGAGGGGCUCCCGGAGCCGCUCCGAUCGGACGCCGCGCGCGCCGCCCGCUCCGAGGGGACGUGAGGCGCCUCCCCCACCACAUGUAAUGUUGGACUGCGUCGCGACCCCAGGUCAGGCGGGGACACCCGCCGAGUUUAAGCAUAUAAAUAAGCGGAGGAAAAGAAACUUACCAGGAUUA